This 460-nucleotide ribosomal RNA is filed under the name uncultured bacterium. Its description in RNAcentral is "partial 16S ribosomal RNA". It matches the Rfam family "Bacterial small subunit ribosomal RNA", at positions 338 to 795 of the family's 1533-position model. The record is from RNAcentral.
CCUACGGGAGGCUGCAGUGAGGAAUAUUGGUCAAUGGACGCAAGUCUGAACCAGCCAUGCCGCGUGCAGGAAGACGGCUCUAUGAGUUGUAAACUGCUUUUGUACAAGGGUAAACUCAGGUACGCGUAUCUGUCUGAAAGUAUCGUACGAAUAAGGAUCGGCUAACUCCGUGCCAGCAGCCGCGGUAAUACGGAGGAUCCAAGCGUUAUCCGGAUUUAUUGGGUUGAAAGGGUGCGUAGGCGGGCUGUUAAGUUAGUGGUGAAAUCCCGAGGCUCAACUUCGGAAUUGCACUUGAUACUGUUCGGCUAGAGAGCAGUUGCGGUAGGCGGAAUGUAUGGUGUAGCGGUGAAAUGCUUAGAUAUCAUACAGAACACCGAUUGCGAAGGCAGCUUACCAAGCUACUACUGACGUUGAGGCACGAAAGCGUGGGGAGCAAACAGGAUUAGAUACCCUAGUAGUC